This 916-nucleotide ribosomal RNA is filed under the name Didymella combreti. RNAcentral describes it as "partial 28S ribosomal RNA". It matches the Rfam family "Eukaryotic large subunit ribosomal RNA", at positions 33 to 967 of the family's 3401-position model. The record is from RNAcentral. Lineage: Eukaryota; Fungi; Ascomycota; Dothideomycetes; Pleosporales; Didymellaceae.
CUUAAGCAUAUCAAUAAGCGGAGGAAAAGAAACCAACAGGGAUUGCCCUAGUAACGGCGAGUGAAGCGGCAACAGCUCAAAUUUGAAAUCUGGCGUCUUCGGCGUCCGAGUUGUAAUUUGCAGAGGGCGCUUUGGCAUUGGCAGCGGUCCAAGUUCCUUGGAACAGGACGUCACAGAGGGUGAGAAUCCCGUACGUGGUCGCUAGCCUUUACCGUGUAAAGCCCCUUCGACGAGUCGAGUUGUUUGGGAAUGCAGCUCUAAAUGGGAGGUAAAUUUCUUCUAAAGCUAAAUACUGGCCAGAGACCGAUAGCGCACAAGUAGAGUGAUCGAAAGAUGAAAAGCACUUUGGAAAGAGAGUUAAAAAGCACGUGAAAUUGUUGAAAGGGAAGCGCUUGCAGCCAGACUUGCCUGUAGUUGCUCAUCCGGGUUUCUACCCGGUGCACUCUUCUAUAGGCAGGCCAGCAUCAGUUUGGGCGGUUGGAUAAAGGUCUCUGUCAUGUACCUCUCUUCGGGGAGAACUUAUAGGGGAGACGACAUGCAACCAGCCUGGACUGAGGUCCGCGCAUCUGCUAGGAUGCUGGCGUAAUGGCUGUAAGCGGCCCGUCUUGAAACACGGACCAAGGAGUCUAACAUCUAUGCGAGUGUUUGGGUGUCAAGCCCGAGCGCGUAAUGAAAGUGAACGGAGGUGGGAACCUUUCGGGGUGCACCAUCGACCGAUCCUGAUGUCUUCGGAUGGAUUUGAGUAAGAGCAUAGCUGUUGGGACCCGAAAGAUGGUGAACUAUGCUUGAAUAGGGUGAAGCCAGAGGAAACUCUGGUGGAGGCUCGCAGCGGUUCUGACGUGCAAAUCGAUCGUCAAAUUUGGGCAUAGGGGCGAAAGACUAAUCGAACUAUCUAGUAGCUGGUUCCUGCCGAAGU